RNAcentral lists this ribosomal RNA (2900 nucleotides) under Klebsiella pneumoniae. Its description in RNAcentral is "23S ribosomal RNA". It matches the Rfam family "Bacterial large subunit ribosomal RNA". Lineage: Bacteria; Pseudomonadati; Pseudomonadota; Gammaproteobacteria; Enterobacterales; Enterobacteriaceae. The record is from RNAcentral.
UUAAGCGACUAAGCGUACACGGUGGAUGCCCUGGCAGUCAGAGGCGAUGAAGGACGUGCUAAUCUGCGAAAAGCGUCGGUAAGGUGAUAUGAACCGUUAUAACCGGCGAUGUCCGAAUGGGGAAACCCAGUGUGAUUCGUCACACUAUCGUUAACUGAAUACAUAGGUUAACGAGGCGAACCGGGGGAACUGAAACAUCUAAGUACCCCGAGGAAAAGAAAUCAACCGAGAUUCCCCCAGUAGCGGCGAGCGAACGGGGAGCAGCCCAGAGUCUGAAUCAGCUUGUGUGUUAGUGGAACGGUCUGGAAAGUCCGACGGUACAGGGUGAUAGUCCCGUACACCAAAAUGCACAGGCUGUGAACUCGAAGAGUAGGGCGGGACACGUGGUAUCCUGUCUGAAUAUGGGGGGACCAUCCUCCAAGGCUAAAUACUCCUGACUGACCGAUAGUGAACCAGUACCGUGAGGGAAAGGCGAAAAGAACCCCGGCGAGGGGAGUGAAAAAGAACCUGAAACCGUGUACGUACAAGCAGUGGGAGCACCUUCGGGUGUGACUGCGUACCUUUUGUAUAAUGGGUCAGCGACUUAUAUUCUGUAGCAAGGUUAACCGUAUAGGGGAGCCGCAGGGAAACCGAGUCUUAACUGGGCGUUAAGUUGCAGGGUAUAGACCCGAAACCCGGUGAUCUAGCCAUGGGCAGGUUGAAGGUUGGGUAACACUAACUGGAGGACCGAACCGACUAAUGUUGAAAAAUUAGCGGAUGACUUGUGGCUGGGGGUGAAAGGCCAAUCAAACCGGGAGAUAGCUGGUUCUCCCCGAAAGCUAUUUAGGUAGCGCCUCGUGAAUUCAUCUUCGGGGGUAGAGCACUGUUUCGGCUAGGGGGUCAUCCCGACUUACCAACCCGAUGCAAACUACGAAUACCGAAGAAUGUUAUCACGGGAGACACACGGCGGGUGCUAACGUCCGUCGUGAAGAGGGAAACAACCCAGACCGCCAGCUAAGGUCCCAAAGUCACAGUUAAGUGGGAAACGAUGUGGGAAGGCACAGACAGCCAGGAUGUUGGCUUAGAAGCAGCCAUCAUUUAAAGAAAGCGUAAUAGCUCACUGGUCGAGUCGGCCUGCGCGGAAGAUGUAACGGGGCUAAACUGUGCACCGAAGCUGCGGCAGCGACACUAUGUGUUGUUGGGUAGGGGAGCGUUCUGUAAGCCUGCGAAGGUGGCCUGUGAGGGUUGCUGGAGGUAUCAGAAGUGCGAAUGCUGACAUAAGUAACGAUAAAGCGGGUGAAAAGCCCGCUCGCCGGAAGACCAAGGGUUCCUGUCCAACGUUAAUCGGGGCAGGGUGAGUCGACCCCUAAGGCGAGGCCGAAAGGCGUAGUCGAUGGGAAACAGGUUAAUAUUCCUGUACUUGGUGUUACUGCGAAGGGGGGACGGAGAAGGCUAUGUUAGCCGGGCGACGGUUGUCCCGGUUUAAGCAUGUAGGCUGGUUAUCCAGGCAAAUCCGGAUAAUCAAGGCUGAGGUGUGAUGACGAGGCACUACGGUGCUGAAGUAACAAAUGCCCUGCUUCCAGGAAAAGCCUCUAAGCAUCAGGUAACAUCAAAUCGUACCCCAAACCGACACAGGUGGUCAGGUAGAGAAUACCAAGGCGCUUGAGAGAACUCGGGUGAAGGAACUAGGCAAAAUGGUGCCGUAACUUCGGGAGAAGGCACGCUGGUGUGUAGGUGAAGCCCCUGCGGGUGGAGCUGAGACCAGUCGAAGAUACCAGCUGGCUGCAACUGUUUAUUAAAAACACAGCACUGUGCAAACACGAAAGUGGACGUAUACGGUGUGACGCCUGCCCGGUGCCGGAAGGUUAAUUGAUGGGGUUAUCCGUAAGGAGAAGCUCUUGAUCGAAGCCCCGGUAAACGGCGGCCGUAACUAUAACGGUCCUAAGGUAGCGAAAUUCCUUGUCGGGUAAGUUCCGACCUGCACGAAUGGCGUAAUGAUGGCCAGGCUGUCUCCACCCGAGACUCAGUGAAAUUGAACUCGCUGUGAAGAUGCAGUGUACCCGCGGCAAGACGGAAAGACCCCGUGAACCUUUACUAUAGCUUGACACUGAACAUUGAGCCUUGAUGUGUAGGAUAGGUGGGAGGCUUUGAAGCGUGGACGCCAGUCUGCGUGGAGCCAACCUUGAAAUACCACCCUUUAAUGUUUGAUGUUCUAACGUUGGCCCCUGACCGGGGUUGCGGACAGUGUCUGGUGGGUAGUUUGACUGGGGCGGUCUCCUCCCAAAGCGUAACGGAGGAGCACGAAGGUUAGCUAAUCCUGGUCGGACAUCAGGAGGUUAGUGCAAUGGCAUAAGCUAGCUUGACUGCGAGCGUGACGGCGCGAGCAGGUGCGAAAGCAGGUCAUAGUGAUCCGGUGGUUCUGAAUGGAAGGGCCAUCGCUCAACGGAUAAAAGGUACUCCGGGGAUAACAGGCUGAUACCGCCCAAGAGUUCAUAUCGACGGCGGUGUUUGGCACCUCGAUGUCGGCUCAUCACAUCCUGGGGCUGAAGUAGGUCCCAAGGGUAUGGCUGUUCGCCAUUUAAAGUGGUACGCGAGCUGGGUUUAGAACGUCGUGAGACAGUUCGGUCCCUAUCUGCCGUGGGCGCUGGAGAAUUGAGGGGGGCUGCUCCUAGUACGAGAGGACCGGAGUGGACGCAUCACUGGUGUUCGGGUUGUCAUGCCAAUGGCACUGCCCGGUAGCUAAAUGCGGAAGAGAUAAGUGCUGAAAGCAUCUAAGCACGAAACUUGCCCCGAGAUGAGUUCUCCCUGAGACUUUAAGUCUCCUGAAGGAACGUUGAAGACGACGACGUUGAUAGGCCGGGUGUGUAAGCGCAGCGAUGCGUUGAGCUAACCGGUACUAAUGAACCGUGAGGCUUAACCUU